This 154-nucleotide ribosomal RNA is filed under the name uncultured Bacillus sp. RNAcentral's name for it is "partial 16S ribosomal RNA". The record is from RNAcentral. Lineage: Bacteria; Bacillati; Bacillota; Bacilli; Caryophanales; Bacillaceae.
GACGAAGUCUGAGGAGCCCGCGCGUGCGUGAUGAGGCCUUCGGGUUGUAAAACUCUGUUGGUCGGGAAGAACACGUACCGGUCUAAUAGGGCGGUACCUUGCCGGUACCUAACCGGAAGGCCACGGCUAACUACUUGCCACCACCCCCAGUAUA